This 557-nucleotide ribosomal RNA is filed under the name uncultured Aspergillus. RNAcentral describes it as "SSU rRNA". It matches the Rfam family "Eukaryotic small subunit ribosomal RNA", at positions 194 to 755 of the family's 1831-position model. Lineage: Eukaryota; Fungi; Ascomycota; Eurotiomycetes; Eurotiales; Aspergillaceae. The record is from RNAcentral.
GGAAGGGGUGUAUUUAUUAUGAUAAAAAACCAAUGCCCUUCGGGGCUCCUUGGUGAAUCAUAAUAACUUAACGAAUCGCAUGGCCUUGCGCCGGCGAUGGCUCAUUCAAAUUUCUGCCCUAUCAACUUUCGAUGGUAGGAUAGUGGCCUACCAUGGUGGCAACGGGUAACGGGGAAUUAGGGUUCGAUUCCGGAGAGGGAGCCUGAGAAACGGCUACCACAUCCAAGGAAGGCAGCAGGCGCGCAAAUUACCCAAUCCCGACACGGGGAGGUAGUGACAAUAAAUACUGAUACGGGGCUCUUUUGGGUCUCGUAAUUGGAAUGAGUACAAUCUAAAUCCCUUAACGAGGAACAAUUGGAGGGCAAGUCUGGCGCCAGCAGCCGCGGUAAUUCCAGCUCCAAUAGCGUAUAUUAAAGUUGUUGCAGCUAAAAAGCUCGUAGUUGAACCUUGGGUCUGGCUGGCCGGUCCGCCUCACCGCGAGUACUGGUCCGGCUGGACCUUUCCUUCUGGGGAAUCUCAUGGCCUUCACUGGCUGUGGGGGGAACCAGGACUUUUAC